CCAUAUAAUCUCUGUUUUUCUUUUUUAAUGUUUACUUAUUUAUUUGCAAGAAUCAGAGAGGGAGAGACAGAGAUCUUCCCUCUGCUGGUUCACUCCCCCAGAUGGCAGAAAUGGCCACGGCUGAGCCAGGCCAAAGCCAGGAGCCUGGAGCUGCAUCUGGGUCUCCCACGUGGCUGCAGCGGCCCAAGCCCUUGAGCUGUCCUCUGCUGCUUUCCCAGGCACAAUGGCAGGAAGCUGGAUCGGAAGUGAAGCAUCCAGGACACCAGCCAGCACCCAUAUGGGAUGGUCACACUGCAGGCGGCGGCUUUACCCGCUGUGCCACAGCACCAACUCCCACAUAAGCUCUCAGUUCAACCAGGGCCAGACCUGACACUGAGGGCGCCACAGUCAAACCUCCCAGCUCCUACCAGGGCCUCUGCCCGUUGUGCAGAGUAACUUGACAAACCUCUUAGACCACUCACUCUUGUCCCUUUGCGUAGGAUUGGGUUUUCCCAAGUUAAAGUCGUCUCCUGUGGCUCCAUCCGCAUUGCACACGCCCGCAGCCAUGCUGCUGUUGCGUUUCCUCUUUCCGUCCUUGAACAGUUACCCUGGGAAAAUGGCGGAAGCAGUUUUCCAUGCCCCGAAACGGAGGAGAAGAGUGCACGAGAGUUACGAGUCCCCGUGGCCCAUCCCUUUUGCUCAGGACUGUGGUCCCCAGAGAGAGUUCAGAAUGUUCCGCGCCGAGAUGAUCAACAACAGCGUGGUGGUGAGGAGCCCGGAAGACAUCGGGCAGCUGUACGGGAAGGGCUACUUUGGAAAAGGUAUUCUGUCAAAAAGCCGUCCACACUUCACAGGCUCAGAUGCUAAGCUGGUUGCGAAGUGGAAAGAUAUAAAGACUAACAUGCCUAUCAUCACAUCAGAAAAGUAUCAGCGCCGUGCAGAGUGGGCCGCGGAGCUCAUGCGCAGGCAGGGCCAGGAGGAGAGCGCAGUGCGCCGCGUCCUCGAGGAGUUCACGCGGCCACUGGAGCGACCUCGGGUCGGAAGGGCUGAAGGCGGCCAAUUGCAUGCUGAGCCUCGCUCAGAGACGGCUUCCACCAGCGAGGGCACAGCAAGGAGCGAGACACUGUCUGUGACCAACGGGGACUCCGGAAGGGCAGACAAGGCGGGCAGUGCAAGCCGGCCCUCGGACUGCCUGCAGGAGGGCCCUGGGCCCGAGCCGCUGAGCACAGACAGCUUGGAUGAGUGUGUGCCGGAAGACCCCACGCCUCGGCCCCGAGUCGGUCGCUGUGAACAGGACGGCCCUGCCCCUGCAUGCGGCCCCCAGCCCGAGGACAGCAGUCGUGGAGCAGAGGUCGCCUGUGCUGACCAGGAGUGCGUGCUCGUGGAGGAGGUGCUGUGUGAUGGGAGCCCGCGGGAGGACGCCCCAGCUGGGGAAUUGGUGCAGAGAAAGCAAUUAGUGUGCAGAAGAAACCCAUACAGGAUCUUUGAGUAUUUGCAGCUCAGCCUUGAAGAGGCCUUCUUCCUGGUGUACGCUCUGGGCUGCCUCAGUAUUUACUAUGAGAAGGAACCUUUAACGAUAAUGAAACUCUGGGAAGCCUUCAGUGCGGUGCAGCCCUCGUUCAGGACCACCUACCUGGCCUACCACUAUUUCCGAAGCAAGGGCUGGGUGCCCAAGGUGGGGCUCAAGUACGGGACGGACCUGUUGCUCUACCGGAAGGGGCCUCCGUUCUACCAUGCAAGCUACUCCGUCAUCGUUGAGCUCGUGGACGACCGUUUCCAGGGCACGGCCCGCAGGCCGUUCAGCUGGAGGGCGCUGGCCGCCCUGAGCAGGGUCUCAGCGAACGUCUCCAAGGAGCUUAUGCUAUGUUACUUGAUUAAACCCUCCACCAUGACUGACGAGGAAAUGGGCUCCCCAGAAUGUAUGAAAAGAAUCCAAGUCCAGGUCACCUUGCUGUUCACACUUCCCUGAACCCCACAGAGCCACUGCUCAGUCUCCAGACCCCAGCGGCUCCUCCCUCCAAUUGGUCCUGCUUGUAAACUGCUGAUCAGAGUCCACGCCUUCCUUCUCAGUGGCUGACACGGGCACACCAGCACCAUCACAGGAGGUGAUUCUGAGCCGCUGGGUUUCUUCACGAGAGAGGAGUGACCAGGACGAGCUCUAACAGUUCACCCUCAGCUCUCUGACCUCACCGACAGAUACUUGUUGAGCCUCCUCGCUGCGCCGAGUUCAGGGCUGGAGCAGAAGUCCUGUUGCUGUUGAUAGAGGUGUUAAAGGGCACGCCGCUGCCAGCGCCCAAAUUGUUAACAGUGUUUUAAAAGACAAGAUUACGUCGGAGAGAGACGAGGCUGUGCUGGCCUGAGCCGACUGCUCUGUGUCCCCAUCCACUCGGCGGGGCCUGGGGGACUCUUCCAGAGACGGGGGCUCGCUCUGCAGGUGCCUGGCAGCAGUAACGGUUGGCGCUCCUACUGCACCGUUCCGUUUAUAAAGCACUUGGUCCUCGGGGGUCUUGUUACCCGCGUCUGCUCCCCUACGGCUGACCCCACGUUAGAGUGUUUUCAGCAGGAAAAGCAGCAGCGUGUCUCGGGUAUCCAGGGACCCCGUCCCUGUGCGGUGCUGAGGAACGCCUCUGAGGCCGCAGGCGCUGCGCAGCUGCUCUCGGUGCGCUCGCCGGGCGUGGAUGGCACGUACUGUACAGUCACAUCUUGCUUCAGGGAAUUUGUUACCAAGUAAAUUAAACAGUAAACUAAGAUGCUGAUGAACUGACGCGUGCUGGAGUGCACCGCAGCCUCUUUUUGACCGGGUAGAGAGCGGAGAAGAUGCUGAGAGGCGUUGGGUGGCAACGGGAGGGCACGGGGGAGGGACGUUGCUCGACGGACACACAGGGUGGUCACGGGUGAACGAGGGCCAAAACACCUCCAGGGUCCAAGUUCCACAAACUGGUGGGGUCUUCUCAGCGCUGAGGACUCCAGAAGGGGCCCACGGGGACAUCUUAGGAAGCUGUGAGAUGAGACAACCAGAACGGGCACCUGUUGGCCUUGCCUAGGCCUUGGUCCCAAACUGACCCACAAGAUUCUGCCUGUCGUGAACACACAUCCUAGGUCAGUGUUCGGUUCACACUGCAGCCCUGCUCUGGAACAACGCGCUCGUUACGUCCUCUGAUGUGGACUGCACAGGUCUGGCGUUGCCAGCACAGCCGCUCUCCCCCAGACUUAGGCCAGGAGUGACCGGGAGUUGAGUGUCCUCAUGGCAGGUGCAGCACCCGGCGUCAGUGAUGCCGCUCGCCCCUCGGCAUUCUCCCCGUCCUCGUUGCUUACCCUGGGCUGCUCUGCAGAGUCGAGUCUUUGCUUUGAAAGCCUUGAAAAUCACAAUACAUCCAGAACUUUGCUUUCCUGUUUCAGUGGUCACUUGGUGCCGCUUCCCCAGCCCGGUGAGUGCAUCUGGUGAAAGCUCCCCUGAUCCCGGCCGCCCGGUGUCUAGGCUGCGGCGAUGACGUGGUAUUGGCGAGCGAGGAGGCACACACAGCUCUUCCUCGUGAGUGAAGGCCCCGGGUAUCGUCCUUAGUCUAGGAAACUGGGAUUCCCUGCCUCAGGAAUACGGUUUGGACAGAAUCCGGCAGCCACGCAGGCUUCCGCAUUCCCUGUGCAGGGGUUCGGACUGAGCCUUGCCCUCACGGUUCCCAGCUAACAGCAGUUUUAGCUUUACCUUCGGAGGCCUUAUGUCCUGGCGCCUUUUUCUUAUGAAAUAAACAUAGAAGAUAGCUUUUGUUU
RNA transcript from Lepus europaeus (European hare), 3747 nucleotides. It is a transcript of the gene named tRNA splicing endonuclease subunit 2, with no coding region annotated. The transcript is spliced from 13 exons. The record is from RefSeq and is a predicted model, not a curated record. Lineage: Eukaryota; Metazoa; Chordata; Mammalia; Lagomorpha; Leporidae.